UACGGGGGGGGUAAGCGUUGUUCGGAAUUACUGGGCGUAAAGGGCUCGUAGGCGGCCAACUAAGUCAGACGUGAAAUCCCUCAGCUUAACUGGGGAACUGCGUCUGAUACUGGAUGGCUUGAGUGCGGGAGAGGGAUGUGGAAUUCCAGGUGUAGCGGUGAAAUGCGCAGAUAUCAGGAGGAACACCGGUGGCGAAGGCGGCAUCCUGGACCGGUAUUGACGCUGAGGCGCGAAAGCUAGGGGAGCAAACGGG
This 253-nucleotide ribosomal RNA is filed under the name uncultured bacterium. Its description in RNAcentral is "partial 16S ribosomal RNA". It matches the Rfam family "Bacterial small subunit ribosomal RNA", at positions 524 to 776 of the family's 1533-position model. The record is from RNAcentral.